AUUGAACGCUGGCGGCAUGCCUUACACAUGCAAGUCGAACGGCAGCACGGGGGCAACCCUGGUGGCGAGUGGCGAACGGGUGAGUAACGCAUCGGAAUGUACCCAGUAGUGGGGGAUAACUAGUCGAAAGAUUAGCUAAUACCGCAUACGCACUGAGGUGGAAAGCGGGGGAUCGCAAGACCUCGCGCUAUUGGAGCAGCCGAUGUCCGAUUAGGUAGUUGGUGGGGUAAAGGCCUACCAAGCCUGCGAUCGGUAACUGGUCUGAGAGGACGACCAGUCACACUGGGACUGAGACACGGCCCAGACUCCUACGGGAGGCAGCAGUGGGGAAUUUUGGACAAUGGGCGCAAGCCUGAUCCAGCAAUGCCGCGUGUGUGAAGAAGGCCUCGGUUGUAACUGCUUUUGUUACGGUAACGAACGGACGAGCUCUAAUACAGUUUGCUAAUGACGGUACCGUAA
This 459-nucleotide ribosomal RNA is filed under the name uncultured bacterium. RNAcentral describes it as "bacterial SSU rRNA". It matches the Rfam family "Bacterial small subunit ribosomal RNA", at positions 30 to 483 of the family's 1533-position model. The record is from RNAcentral.